UUGAUGGGACACCUGAAGCCAAUCAAAGGCUGGCUGGAACUAGUUAAAAGCCUCCCAGUUAGUCAGUGAGGCACACAUACCAGGAGCUGUAGGAGGAAGCCAUGCUGUUGGAGAAACUAAGCAGUACAAAUCCAUAUCAGGCACAAGGAAGGAGGCCCUGAGGCAAUAGCUGAGCUGUUCUAUUGUGAGCUCCUGUGACCUGUGUGAACCACCAGACAAGAGAGAGACAUUAACUGGCGUGAAGUGCUGAUCUCCAGCAGAGGGUGUUAUGUUCUGCCAAAUGGAAGAGGUCCAUUGACACCAGAGGGACUAUUGUGGGAUGUUAAAGAGGAGGAUGAUGGUGGUGGUUCUGCUCUCCUUCCCAUGAAGAUGAGUCAUGCAUGUGGAUUCCUCCUGUCUGCUGAGCUUGCAGCUCAGAGCACAAUGGCUGAGGGAUAUAAAAACCCGUAACAAGAAGGAACUGAUGCUUGGACUCUGGCGGGACCUGCUACAAGUGUGGUAUUUGGUGUGAGAUCUAAGGUGAAAUUGAUCUGGGAAUUAGGAUCUUCCCACUACAGGUUAGAAAAAGGGCCGUAGCUGCCAGGGAUAGAUGGCCCUCCUUCCCAGCCCCAGCUCAGGGGCUGCUGCAGCAGGGGAGAGAGGACA
Long non-coding RNA from Mauremys mutica (yellowpond turtle), 645 nucleotides. RefSeq lists it as uncharacterized. Lineage: Eukaryota; Metazoa; Chordata; Testudines; Geoemydidae. The record is from RefSeq and is a predicted model, not a curated record. The transcript has 5 exons.